This 301-nucleotide ribosomal RNA is filed under the name uncultured bacterium. RNAcentral describes it as "partial 16S ribosomal RNA". It matches the Rfam family "Bacterial small subunit ribosomal RNA", at positions 509 to 807 of the family's 1533-position model. The record is from RNAcentral.
CAGUCGCCGCGGUAAUAUGGAGGGUGCAAGCGUUAAUCGGAAUUACUGGGCGUAAAGCGUGCGUAGGUGGUGGUUUAAGUCCGUUGUGAAAGCCCUGGGCUCAACCUGGGAAUUGCAGUGGAUACUGGGUCACUAGAGUGUGGUAGAGGAUAGUGGAAUUUCCGGUGUAGCAGUGGAAUGCGUAGAGAUCGGAAGGAACAUCUGUGGCGAAGGCGACUAUCUGGGCCAACACUGACACUGAGGCACGAAAGCGUGGGGAGCAAACAGGAUUAGAUACCCCGGUAGUCCCUGUCUCUUAUAC